CAAACUCACCUCCAUAACACUUUUCCUUGUGCUCUUCGAUGACUUGGUCGUCGUAUUGCUCUCCGCAAACAAAACAAAUUCGAAGUCCGUCU
Molecule: non-coding RNA, 92 nt
Organism: Caenorhabditis elegans
Lineage: Eukaryota; Metazoa; Nematoda; Chromadorea; Rhabditida; Rhabditidae
Source: Ensembl